Molecule: RNA transcript, 4878 nt
Organism: Mus musculus (house mouse)
Lineage: Eukaryota; Metazoa; Chordata; Mammalia; Rodentia; Muridae
Gene: Gpr137c
Gene name: G protein-coupled receptor 137C
Exons: 8
Source: RefSeq, marked validated
GCGCGCCCGCCCGGGCCAAUCGCCGGCAGCUCACAGUGCGGAGCGAGCGCCUCAAAAGCUCGGGUUUCUCAGCUGAUUGUCUCCAGCCGAGAGUUGUUUGCUGCUGCUGCGGAGCCGAGCCGCGGCCCGAGGAACCGAGCCCCCCGGGGGGAAGGGGAGGCGGGCCCGAGGGCAGCCGCGGCCAUCGCGCGGGGCUGCGACUCCUGUCACGGCGCUGCCCGGGGCCGCAGGCUGGGGCGGGCGGGAGGUCCGGGGGGCGCUCGGGCCGCUUCCUUCCCGCGCUCCCUCCCCGCUGCUCGCGUCCCCUCAUGAGGGUAUCAGUGUCCGGGCCGGCGGCCGCCGCGGUCCCCACGGCCGGCCGCGAACCCUCGACGUCCGGCGGGGGCGCCGUCGCGGCCUCGGGCGCCGCGGUUCCCGGUUCGGUGCAGCUGGCGCUGAGCGUGCUGCACGCGCUGCUCUACGCCGCGCUCUUCGCCUUUGCCUACCUGCAGCUGUGGCGGCUGCUCCUGUACCGCGAGCGGCGGCUCAGUUACCAGAGCCUCUGCCUCUUCCUGUGUCUCGCGUGGGCAGCGCUCAGGACCACGCUCUUCUCGGCCGCCUUCUCCCUCAGCGGCUCUCUGCCCCUGCUGCGGCCACCCUCUCGCCUGCACUUCUUCCCGCACUGGCUGCUCUACUGCUUCCCCUCCUGCCUACAGUUCUCCACGCUCUGUCUCCUCAACCUCUACCUGGCAGAGGUGAUAUGUAAAGUCAGAUGUGCCACUGAACUUGACAAACACAAAAUUCUACUGCAUUUGGGCUUUAUACUGGCAAGCCUCCUCUUCUUAGCAGUGAACUUGACCUGUGCAAUGCUAGUCCACGGAGAUGUCCCAGAAAAUCAAUUGAAAUGGACUGUGUUUAUUCGAGCACUAAUUAACGAUAGCCUGUUUAUUCUCUGUGCCAUCUCUUUAGUUAGCUACAUAUGCAAAAUUACAAAAAUGUCAUCAGCAAAUGUCUACCUCGAAUCAAAGGGUCUCUUGCUGAACCUGGAACUCACCCAUCUGGCAAAAGUAACACAGGCCCCAGGAAUUCUGCCUCCAGCUUUGCGGCCACAGGAUUACAGGCCUAGUGCAGCUGUGCACAGAUUCUCAAGUGGGUGCUCGGAAUUGAACUCUUGUUCUCAUAAUGAACACAGCAAGCAAUUAAUUAACUGAAACAUUUCCCCAUAAGUUUACUUUAAAACUAAACAUGAACAAGACAUUAACUUACUAAGUCAUAUACUUCAGUGUGCACAGAUUUCUACAUGUAAUAUUUUGUAAUAUUUUUCUUAAGAGCUCUUUAUUAAGUUCUUUUCUCCCAUUUUUCUUGGAGUUUAUUUAUUUAUUUGGUUAAUUUAUUUAUUGACAUCCCAAACACUGUCCCCUCCCAGUUCCCUCUUCAGAGUCCCUCCCCAAUCCUCCAUCCCCUUCUCCUCUGAGAGGGUGGGGCCACUCCUACGCUGCAGGAUUCUGCACAUCCUCUCCCACUGAGGCCAGACAUGGCAGCUCUGUUGGGGAAUGGAUUCCACAGUCAGGCUACAGCUUUAGAGACAGCCCCCACUCCAGUUGUUAGAGACCCACAUGAAGGCUGAGCUGCACAUCUGCUAUGUGAGGUAGCCUCUGAGAGGUUCCAGAGCUCCAGGGUAUGUCUCUGUGCCAGACUGUCAUCGUGGGCUCUGUAGUCAUUCUUCUCUACUCUUCCAGAGCUUGUUAUAAUCUGGUAGUGAUCACCAUAUCACAGGAUACCUUAGAGAGUCCAUUUAAUUAUGGCUGGGAUAAUCUUUCAGAUAAGGCUCAGGGAGAAGACGGAAAUGGAGGAGACUACAUUGUCUUUGGAAUGGUCCUCUUUCUGUGGGAGCAUGUACCAGCAUGGUCAGUGGUACUAUUUUUCCGGGCACAGAGAUUAAACCAGAAUCUGGCACCUGCUGGCAUGAUAAGCAGCCACAGCUACAGCUCCAGGGCUUUCUUUUUCGACAAUCCAAGACGGUAUGACAGUGACGACGACUUGCCAAGACUGGGGAACUCACGGGAAGGAAGUUUAUCAAACUCGCAAACUUUGGGCUGGUACGGCACCAUGACUGGGUGUGGCGGCGGCACCUACACAGUCACACCCCCACUGAAUGGACCUGUGACAGACACUGCUCCUUUGCUCUUCACGUGCAGUAAUUUAGAUAUAAGGAAUCACCAUAGCUUAUACGUAACUCCACAGAACUGAUGGCUUUCCUACGGCUGAAGUCUCAAACUGUUUUCCAUGAACGUGUACGUGUAUUCAACAUCUUUACAACCAUCUGCAUCAACACUGCACCAUCUAUUGCAACUAACAAAAGUCUGGAGAUAUAGCUAUGUUUCAUGGUUCUCCGUGUUUUGACCUCUGCAUAGUGAAACGUGAAGUCUGGAGUUGAUUAGAUGCUAAGGUAUUUGAUGACCUCAGAACCUCCUAACUUUGGAACAUGGAGCGCACAUUUGCAUAUUUGCACUUUUACCUAUGUUUGGAAAGAAUAUUCUGCCAUGCCCAAAGCCACACUUGAGGAUUCACACCAGAAUAUUUACACUAAAUCAGGAGGCAGUUUUCCACAAAAAUCAAAACCUAGAAGCCCGAUGGUGUACUCUACCUUACCCAGUGACAGCUUUAAAGUGUGAUCAGUGCACAGAAUUGAGGCUUAAAAAUGCAUUCUUCUUUUUUUUUUUUUUAAUCUAAAAAUACGUAACACUUGAGACAGUUUUUUAAAGCAUGCUUUGAAAAAUAUCAAUUGAAAUUACUCCAUUAUUUUAAACAAGUGAUAGUAGAAAUCCUUUAUGGUGCUGCUGGCUGGCAGUGUUCUUUGGAAAGCCAGAGGGGUUUCUUAAAAGGAACAGUAAGCCAGUGGAGACUGUGUGGCUUUGAAGAGGACUGGUCAAGUGGCUAUCUUGUGACUAAGUAGAAGUUUAAGCAUGACUCUUCCAGAAGCAGUCGUGACCUUUGCACAGGGGGCUUCAGUAGAGUGUCUUGGGACAAAACAAGUUUACAGAUGCAUUUAGAGAUUCUUCAUUGAAAAAAAAAGUGAUACGUUAAAAGCAGUUAUAUUUUCAAAAAGCAUCAAUUUAUCUGAAAGGAGAUGGGGCUCAUCCUACCGUCCGAGGCAAGACUGUCCUCAGGUAAAUUAAAUCAUGAGACAUCUCACAGUGAGCUAAAGUGCAAUACUCUACAAGAUGUAUGUAUAAUCAAUCCCGCCUUUAUUUUCACAUUUUAUACUUUGUAUAUGGCCUAAGCCAAAUUAAAUUAAUUCCAAUCAAUUCCAGCAUGGAAUUAACAAGCAAACAGGAGAAAUGUUAAGAGAUUAACAACAUUGGAAUAUUUUAGGAUUUCAUUAAAACUAUCUUAAAUGAUAUUGUAAGCUGUGUGCCUGUGCACACUCACGUGCACCCUUGUGUUCAUGUGGACACACAAACAUAACACACACACAGUAGUAGGCCCAAACAACACAAAAUUUUAAAAUGUACUUUCUACCCGUGUCUAUAUGGAAAGUAGAUACUCAUACCUCGUAUUCUGAGUGGACAGGCUGUUUAGGAAGCUGUCACACAGGUAAACAUGACCCCACAUAGGAUCUACCAACUGCUUUGGAACUGGGACGAACACAGCUGCCCUCUCCUGUCUACUGUGACUAGAAACUGUCUUAUUUGUACUCAGACCUAAAAUAUCUUUCAGCUUUUUGAUGACUAAUGCAGCAACUUCACAAAAGUAUAUGUGAAUCUUUAAAAACACAUUGUUAAUCCUUCCCGUCCUCUGAGAUGGUACAAAGCCAAAUAUUUUUCUUCUUUUUAUGAGCAACAGAUUUUAAAUUCAAUCAGAAGCAUAAUUAAUAUACAUGACAUUUGUUUAUAAGUUCUUAUUGUAACAAAUCAUUUAAAUUUUUAUAGUACAGAAGUUAGCCUUGGUACUAAGAUACAACCUAACAACAUAGUCUAUCUACCACCAUGGGUUUCUGUUAUUCAGUUUCUCAGAAUGCCAGUUGUUUAAUAUUAGGUAUCUAACUCUAUUGUCUUUGUUAAUCUCUGGGUUCAAGAUUUUUUCUAGUUAAGCUUCUAUAUACAAACCUCCUGUUUGACAAAGUAAACAAGGAUUACUUAAACACUUCAGAUAGUGUUUCAGUUCUUUUAGCGUACUGGUUGACUAUACUGAAUUUGAGAUUUGUUAAUUCAUUAAAUUUAUCACUGACUCGAGUAUUUUUUUUUAAACAGGAUUCUGUAUGUAACCCUGGCUGUUCUGGAACUUGCUAUGUAGACCAGGCUGGUCUGGAACUCACAGAGAUUCUCCUGUCUCUGCCUCCUGAGUGGGAGGAUUAAAGGUUUGCGCCACCACACCUGGCCUAUAAAGUACCUAAAUUCUUAACAUUUGUCUCAUGUACAUCUCACAAUACAUCACCAAAGAAAUCUGCCCCCGUGUUUGCUUCAAAUUUCAGAAGCACUAGCAGCACUUUAAGUUAGGUCUCAGAAGGAGCUGUUUAUCAAGGCAAAGGGCUAUAGUUCCCUGUCCACCUGCACUGAAGCACAUGACAAUUCCAGCCCUUCCUCAGUCAUAAACUAGAAAAUCGAAUUUCAUUGCUUAAGUGUAUAAUUCUACAGUGAUUAGCAAUAUUUAUCGUUUUAUUAGGGUUGCUAUUAAUUUUGAAACUCUUACCAUUUACUGUAGCUGAUUGUAGUUUUGUGGACAAUGUAAUUUAUAGCUAAAGUGACUUUUUUUUAUUCGUAAUUUGCCUUUUUAUUGUUUAACAGUGUUUCUCAGCUAUACAGUCAGUUUCAAACUGGUUGCAAAAGUAUAGCUGUGGCCAAUGAAUGUACUUCUUUGUUUCACUAAAUUAUAAUAAAAUGCUACUGUUACAGAGUG